This is an RNA transcript of Manis pentadactyla (Chinese pangolin), 4221 nucleotides long. It is a transcript of the gene named O-sialoglycoprotein endopeptidase like 1, with no coding region annotated. The transcript is spliced from 9 exons. NCBI's taxonomy places the organism in Eukaryota, Metazoa, Chordata, Mammalia, Pholidota, Manidae. The record is from RefSeq and is a predicted model, not a curated record.
GAAUAAAAAGCAACGCCGUCUAGGGCUGUAGCAGCGGUCCCGGCGACGCGACGCUGGCACCGUGUUGAUUACAUCACUUCCGGGGCGACAGGUUUACGCUUCUUGCGCGUAAGGAAGGGCAUUUGGCUGUUUUUGCUCGGGAAGGAGACCAGUGAGGAAUGAUCUAUAAAGUAUGCUAAUAUUAAACAAGACAGGAGUUUUUUCUAAACUAUCAAAAAGGAAAAUUUAUGAAUUUUUAAUAAGUUUUAACUUUUAUCCCGGAAAACUAUUUCUUCAUAAACUAGUAUUGGGAAUUGAAACCAGUUGUGAUGAUACAGCAGCUGCUGUGGUGGAUGAAACUGGAAAUGUUUUGGGAGAAGCAAUACAUUCCCAAACUGAAAUUCACUUAAAAACAGGUGGGAUUAUUCCUUCAGUAGCUCAACAACUUCACAGAGAAAAUAUUCAACGAAUAGUGCAAGAAGCUCUUUCUGCCAGUAAAGUCUGUCCAAGUGAACUCUCAGCAAUUGCAACUACUACAAAACCAGGACUUGCUUUAAGCUUGGGAGUAGGCUUAUCAUUUAGCUUACAACUGGUCAAGCAGUUAAAAAAGCCUUUCAUUCCCAUUCAUCAUAUGGAGGCUCAUGCACUUACUAUCAGGUUAUCAAGUAAAGUUGAAUUUCCUUUUUUAGUUCUUUUGAUUUCUGGGGGUCAUUGUCUCUUGGCAUUAGUUAGAGGAGUUUCAGAUUUUCUGCUUCUUGGAAAGUCUUUGGACAUAGCGCCAGGUGACAUGCUUGACAAGGUAGCAAGAAGACUUGCUUUAAUAAAACAUCCAGAGUGCUCCACCAUGAGUGGUGGGAAGGCUAUAGAAUAUUUGGCCAAACAAGGAAAUAAAGUGCAUUUUGAUUUCAUACCUCCCAUGCAACGUGCUAAAAAUUGUGAUUUUUCUUUUUCUGGACUUCAAAAUGUUAUUGAUAAGAUAAUACUGCAAAAGGAAAAAGAGGAAGGUAUUGAGAAGGGGCAAAUCCUGUCUUCAGCUGCAGACAUUGCUGCUGCAGUGCAGCACACAACAGCAUGCCACAUCGCAAAAAGAACACACCGCGCUAUUCUGUUUUGCAAACAGAGAGACUUGUUAUCUCCAAGUAAUGCAGUGCUCGUUGUAUCUGGAGGCGUUGCAAGUAAUUUAUAUAUCCGGAAAGCCCUGGAAAUGGUAACAAAUGCAACACAAUGUGCUUUGUUGUGUCCUCCUCCCAGGCUGUGUACUGACAACGGCAUUAUGAUUGCAUGAUGUCCCCUUGGAGUAGAUAUAUCAAAAGAAGUUGGAGAAGCUGCCAUAAAAGUACCACAGUUAAAAAUUAUGAUUUAAGUUUUACUUUCCAAAAAUCCCUAAAGGUAUUUUAUAUUCAGUUACUCAUUUACUCACCACUCAAAAUAUUUCGAACAUUAAAUCUGCUUGAAGUGAUUGGGAAAAGCUUCAUGGGAGAAGAGACACUUCAGCUAGAAACUUAAGUUCAUGAUGAAACUGACAAGAAGGAGGCAAAAUCAUCUGAAUAUAUGCCUGAGGAACUUUGCUGUUAUUCCAGCCCUGUUUCUGCUGUGGGAAUUUGGCAUAGUUUUGAAUCAAGUCCAAAAGUUCAUAUGAUGUCAAGGUCAUGGUGUUCCUGGUUGGCUUAGAACUCUCAAAUGUACGCCAGCUUACCCCCAAAUGGCUUCCUGGAUCAGACUUAGAGGCAACCAGUCUCCCAAAAACUUGUCUGCAUUCACAGUUCUGUUGCUAAGUUGGAAUUAAAACAGGCAUUGGCAAUGGACAUUUAGAGUGAAGUUUUUCUCUUGGUAAACAAUUCAUAUGAAGAAGAGUCCCCUUUGUUUGAUCUUCCUUCAACUUCCUUAAAAUUUCCUCUAUCAAUAAUUUCACUACUGCAAAUUCAAACAGAAGCACAGUACCUUAAGGAAGGAAGUCCCACUCUUUGUUGCAUUUGAAAUUCCUUUAAAAAUGCUGGGUUAAUACUUGCAUCUCUGCUGAUAUUAUUUGUUAUACGAAGGAACUGACUGGGCUUAUUCCUGCACUCCUUUAAUAGUAUGCGGAAAGCAUUUGCAUUGUAAGUUAAGUAGCCAAGAGCACAGGAGCAAGCUGUGCAGACCUAGGUAAAGAAGAAACAGUUCCUCCUUAAAUACUGAGCUUUGUUCUUAAAAUACCUAACCCAGUGGUCUCAUUAGAAAUUUCACAGGAAAGUCUUUGUAGCUAUUAACGAAUACAUAUGUCAACCAGUGGCAAUCUAUAGAUGGAAGCAUAACAGCCAUAAUUUUAGAGAGGGCUGCCAACUGCCAUUGAUUUCUACUAGUUCUCAAUUUCCAUUACAUUUUUUUAGAACCACCAGGAGUUUAAGGAAAAGCCCACCAAUUGAAUCAGAAUCUCUUGGGGAUAGAAUCUGCGUAUUUGCGGUGUUCUUUAAAUGCCAAAGGUGAUUUUACUGUUUAGCCAGAGGAAAAAACAUUGAGUUUUAACUAAGAGGGUUUCAGUCUUGACUAUGCCUUACAGUCAUCUAGAUAGCUUGAAAAUUAUUCGCACCUGAGUUCCACCCCUAGAAACUGAUUUAAUUUUGGAGGGGUGUGGCCUGGACAUUGGAAUUUUUCAAAACUGCUGAGGUGGUUGUAAUAGGAAGCCAGAGAAGAGACUGUAGGACAAAAGUAAGUAAAAAAUAAGACAAACAGGAAAGCAACUCCGUUUUUUCAACUGGCGAAAACAAACAAGCACAAGUGUCAGGCCACAGGAUUCCAGAAAUAGUAGCCAUUUUCUUCUUUGAAGGAAAUACCCUCUGCCUGUGACCUGAAGUAAUUAGGUUUUCAUGUGAUUAAUUUAAGUAUAAUUUUGGGGGUAGUUGUUAGGAAAAUCUGUUCGUGGUGGCAUAAGAAGUAUCAUAGAAUGAACAUAAACCAGGCCCAUGCAGGAUAACAGAGGGUUGACAUAUUGGUCUUUAUAUUGGCAACUGACUGCUGUAUAUGCCUGUAUAUCUUCCACAUCUUGAACAGUGGUUCUCAGUUUAUGUUCCCUGGACCAGCUGCUUCAGCUUCUGCAAACUUGUUAGGAAUGUAAAUCCUAGGGUGUUAGGUACUAGAUCAGAAACUCUGGGAAUGGAGGCCAGCAACCUACGGUGAUUCCAGUGUACCCUGAAGUUGGAGAAACACUACCUUAGACUUUGGGGGAGAAGCGUAGGGGAACACUACACACCCUCAUCUCUAACACUGUCUGGCAGGUAAAGAAAACUCCAUUGGAUUCCACUUUCAUUCAUUCCAAAUAAUCACAGAAAUGACUUAGAUCAUAAAAAUGAACCAGUUUUUAUGAGAUAUUUUAUAAAUGUUUUAAUUAUACAUUUCUUUAUCAGUAUACUUUUUCAUAGAUUGAAUCUUAAAUACUGAAGUUAAAACAAAUAAGUACAAUUGUGGGAACCAAAAUUGUGUAUGGCAGAUGUAGUAUUUAAGAAAUCACCUAAUUUUGAGUUAGUAGCAUGAAGUAUUAUAUAAAAGUCAACUUACAGAGAAAUUAGCCCACAGAAGUGAGAGAGGCAAUUAUAUUUUUAGAAUAGACAAUUUUAGAAUUAUUUUUGUUUUUACCUCUUCUUUUCCUGAAUACAAAUGAUAGCAGAGCCGUUGGAUUGUCCCUAAUGUGGUAAAUGCUUCUGGAAUACCAGCUCUCGAAUGAGCCAGGCUAGCUAUUAAAUUCCCUAUAAAUUAAACAAGAAAAAAUGCUUAUUAUUUAAUUGAUACAAACUGACAUACUGUGCUUUUGUUCAUUUGCACAAAGCAUUAAAAAGUUUUGAAUCACAGACAUCUCUAUUAAUGAAGUGUUGGGAGGAUAGUGUAUGUUAAGUGUAGAAUACACUUUUGCCAAAAUUAUGGCUUGGUUUUCUGUCUCAAAUAGUAAAGGUUACAUAGUUUAUUUAAGAGUGAGGAAUUUUGAAAAUAAGAGGUUUUCUUCCUCAUGACUUCAGAAUAUAUUUUGUUUUGAGGCUCUAGGGUUUUUUUUUGUGACUAUGGAUGUAAUAAUUGAACUACCAUAUAAUAUGUCCUUUAUGUAGUUCUAAUGGCUUUGAGUUAAGAGCAUAAUGGUAUUUUAAAAUCAAGCAAUGUAUUGUUUAUUGAAGUUUAAAUUUAAAAUCAAGUUUUUGCUGUAAAAUGAAAUGUUUUGGGAUUGGAAAUAAUAAAGUGAUCUGAUAAUUAAAUAAAUGUGCAACUACCAGCUUAAAA